GGACUGGCUCUAGCUCAGCCCUUCCCUAGACAAAGCAUCAGCUUUCAACUCCCCUCUGCAGAAGUGGUUUGAGGGCUGCGGGCACUCUCCAGUCCUUAG
Molecule: vault RNA, 99 nt
Filed under: Prolemur simus (greater bamboo lemur)
Lineage: Eukaryota; Metazoa; Chordata; Mammalia; Primates; Lemuridae
Description: Vault RNA (ENSPSMG00000017662.1)
Rfam family: Vault RNA
About the family: This family of RNAs are found as part of the enigmatic vault ribonucleoprotein complex. The complex consists of a major vault protein (MVP), two minor vault proteins (VPARP and TEP1), and several small untranslated RNA molecules. It has been suggested that the vault complex is involved in drug resistance.
Source: Rfam by way of RNAcentral